CACGGAGGAUGCGAGCGUUAUCCGGAUUUAUUGGGUUUAAAGGGUGCGCAGGCGGCGUGUCAAGCAAGCGGUAAAAUAGCGGGGCUCAACCCCGUCGAGCCGUUUGAACUGGCGCGCUUGAGUUCAGGCGAGGUAGGCGGAAUUCGUGGUGUAGCGGUGAAAUGCAUAGAUAUCACGAAGAACUCCGAUUGCGAAGGCAGCUUACCAGUCUGCGACUGACGCUCAGGCACGAAAGUGUGGGUAUCGAACAGG
RNAcentral lists this ribosomal RNA (252 nucleotides) under uncultured bacterium. RNAcentral's name for it is "partial 16S ribosomal RNA". It matches the Rfam family "Bacterial small subunit ribosomal RNA", at positions 524 to 776 of the family's 1533-position model. The record is from RNAcentral.